UGGGGGAUAUUGCACAAUGGGCGAAAGCCUGAUGCAGCGACGCCGCGUGGGGGAUGAAGGCUUUCGGGUUGUAAACCUCUUUCGCUAUCGAACAAGGCCCGCUUAGGGUGGGUUGAGGGUAGGUGGAGAAGAAGCGCCGGCUAACUACGUACCAGCAGCCGCGGUAAUACGUAGGGCGCGAGCGUUGUCCGGAAUUAUUGGGCGUAAAGGGCUUGUAGGCGGCUUGUUGCGCCUGCUGUGAAAACGCGGGGCUUAACUUCGCGCGUGCAGUGGGUACGGGCAGGCUUGAGUGUGGUAGGGGUGACUGGAAUUCCAGGUGUAGCGGUGGAAUACGCAGAUAUCUGGAGGAACACCGAUGGCGAAGGCAGGUCACUGGGCCAUUACUGACGCUGAGGAGCGAAAGCAUGGGUAGCGAACAGG
Molecule: ribosomal RNA, 420 nt
Filed under: bacterium
Lineage: Bacteria
Description: partial 16S ribosomal RNA
Rfam family: Bacterial small subunit ribosomal RNA
Source: RNAcentral